UACAGAGGGUGCGAGCGUUGUUCGGAAUUAUUGGGCGUAAAGGGCGCGUAGGCGGUUUGGUAAGUCUGAUGUGAAAUCUAUGGGCUCAACUCAUAGUCUGCAUCGGAAACUGCCGGGCUUGAGUGUGGGAGAGGUGAGUGGAAUUCCCAGUGUAGAGGUGAAAUUCGUAGAUAUUGGGAAGAACACCGGUGGCGAAAGCGGCUCACUGGACCAUAACUGACGCUGAUGCACGAAAGCUAGGGGAGCAAACAGG
RNAcentral lists this ribosomal RNA (253 nucleotides) under uncultured bacterium. RNAcentral's name for it is "partial 16S ribosomal RNA". It matches the Rfam family "Bacterial small subunit ribosomal RNA", at positions 524 to 776 of the family's 1533-position model. The record is from RNAcentral.